UGCAUUAUUGACGUUAGCGACAGAAGAAGCACGGCUAACUCCGUGCCAGCAGCCGCGGUAAUACGGAGGGUGCGAGCGUUAAUCGGAAUUACUGGGCGUAAAGCGCAUGCAGGUGGUUUGUUAAGUCAGAUGUGAAAGCCCGGGGCUCAACCUCGGAAUAGCAUUUGAAACUGGCAGACUAGAGUACUGUAGAGGGGGGUAGAAUUUCAGGUGUAGCGGUGAAAUGCGUAGAGAUCUGAAGGAAUACCGGUGGCGAAGGCGGCCCCCUGGACAGAUACUGACACUCAGAUGCGAAAGCGUGGGGAGCAAACAGGAUUAGAUACCCUGGUAGUCCACGCCGUAAACGAUGUCUACUUGGAGGUUGUGGCCUUGAGCCGUGGCUUUCGGAGCUAACGCGUUAAGUAGACCGCCUGGGGAGUACGGUCGCAAGAUUAAAACUCAAAUGAAUUGACGGGGGCCCGCACAAGCGGUGGAGCAUGUGGUUUAAUUCGAUGCAACGCGAAGAACCUUACCUACUCUUGACAUCCAGAGAACUUUCCAGAGAUGGAUUGGUGCCUUCGGGAACUCUGAGACAGGUGCUGCAUGGCUGUCGUCAGCUCGUGUUGUGAAAUGUUGGGUUAAGUCCCGCAACGAGCGCAACCCUUAUCCUUGUUUGCCAGCACUUCGGGUGGGAACUCCAGGGAGACUGCCGGUGAUAAACCGGAGGAAGGUGGGGACGACGUCAAGUCAUCAUGGCCCUUACGAGUAGGGCUACACACGUGCUACAAUGGCGCAUACAGAGGGCGGCCAACUUGCGAGAGUGAGCGAAUCCCAAAAAGUGCGUCGUAGUCCGGAUCGGAGUCUGCAACUCGACUCCGUGAAGUCGGAAUCGCUAGUAAUCGUGGAUCAGAAUGCCACGGUGAAUACGUUCCCGGGCCUUGUACACACCGCCCGUCACACCAUGGGAGUGGGCUGCAAAAGAAGUAGGUAGUUUAACCUUCGGGAGGACGCUACCACUUUGUUACC
This 1005-nucleotide ribosomal RNA is filed under the name Vibrio sp. Its description in RNAcentral is "bacterial SSU rRNA". It matches the Rfam family "Bacterial small subunit ribosomal RNA", at positions 462 to 1469 of the family's 1533-position model. The record is from RNAcentral. Lineage: Bacteria; Pseudomonadati; Pseudomonadota; Gammaproteobacteria; Vibrionales; Vibrionaceae.